UUUAGCGGGUCGCCUAAUUCAAAUUCAUCAACAAUCAUGAUUUGAAACGGAGGAACCAAAUAUAUGGGGCUAAUCUUUAAGAAAGACACCUUCCAGUCUUAGCCCGUCAGCUAACUCCGUCGGUAAUGGAAGGAACU
This 137-nucleotide small RNA is filed under the name Nostoc sp. RNAcentral describes it as "c-di-AMP sequence". It matches the Rfam family "c-di-AMP riboswitch aptamer (ydaO/yuaA leader)". Rfam says of the family: This family represents a conserved RNA structure found upstream of the ydaO and yuaA genes in Bacillus subtilis and related genes in other bacteria. The ydaO/yuaA element is thought to act as a genetic "off" switch for the ydaO and yuaA genes in its native state. RNAcentral also lists the same sequence under 1 other name. Lineage: Bacteria; Bacillati; Cyanobacteriota; Cyanophyceae; Nostocales; Nostocaceae. The record is from RNAcentral.